GUCGCUGACCACAUCAAAAAUUGUCCCACGAUUUACAAGACCUGUCUCAAACAUGGUUGAUGGAUUAUGGAUGUCCAUCGACCGAGCCCUAAUGAGACAACCUGCUUUACGUCUUGGUGUAAUCCUCUAUUGGGCUAUAAUGCAUGCUAUGCUUGCAACUUUUGUAGUCUGAGAACUGAACAACUGGUCUCUGAUCAUUCUAGGUCAACAUCACAGCUUCAGUUGUGACUGAGAUAAGUUUAUUAGCUUUUAUACGUAUAAUCAUCUAGGUCGCUCAUUCUUUCGUCAUUCGUGGACCAGGGAACUGUGAUUUCCUCGCUUUUACAACACGAAUCACAGAUUGCUUGGUGUUUUUCCAAUAAGAAGGGAAGUUAUUAUAUGGGAUUACAAUACAGUAGAGAUGCAGGUGAUUGAUUGUAGUGAACAGAAGAUAUUCUUCUGUUUUGUCAUGGCGAGACCGGCAAUUCGCCUUUAGUUUGUUCAUUUUCUGUGGAAUUGUUUUUUUUUUAAUUUUAAAUAUUUGUACUGCAUCACCCAUAUAUUAUAGCUCUAGUGCCUGAUCAUCAAAAUGUUGUAUUUGACACUUUCUGGGAUUGGGAUUGGGAUUUUCCUCCCUGGUAAUGUGGUAUAUACAUAUAUCGUUUCAAAACGUUA
This is a long non-coding RNA of Salvia splendens (bonfire salvia), 654 nucleotides long. RefSeq lists it as uncharacterized. NCBI's taxonomy places the organism in Eukaryota, Viridiplantae, Streptophyta, Magnoliopsida, Lamiales, Lamiaceae. The transcript is spliced from 3 exons. The record is from RefSeq and is a predicted model, not a curated record.